This 780-nucleotide ribosomal RNA is filed under the name Lentilactobacillus buchneri. RNAcentral's name for it is "bacterial SSU rRNA". It matches the Rfam family "Bacterial small subunit ribosomal RNA", at positions 14 to 750 of the family's 1533-position model. Lineage: Bacteria; Bacillati; Bacillota; Bacilli; Lactobacillales; Lactobacillaceae. The record is from RNAcentral.
UGAUCAUGGCUCAGGACGAACGCUGGCGGCGUGCCUAAUACAUGCAAGUCGAACGCGUCUCCGUUAAUGAUUUUAGGUGCUUGCACUUGAAAGAUUUAACAUUGAGACGAGUGGCGAACUGGUGAGUAACACGUGGGUAACCUGCCCUUGAAGUAGGGGAUAACACUUGGAAACAGGUGCUAAUACCGUAUAACAACCAAAACCACCUGGUUUUGGUUUAAAAGACGGCUUCGGCUGUCACUUUAGGAUGGACCCGCGGCGUAUUAGCUUGUUGGUAAGGUAACGGCCUACCAAGGCGAUGAUACGUAGCCGACCUGAGAGGGUAAUCGGCCACAUUGGGACUGAGACACGGCCCAAACUCCUACGGGAGGCAGCAGUAGGGAAUCUUCCACAAUGGACGAAAGUCUGAUGGAGCAACGCCGCGUGAGUGAUGAAGGGUUUCGGCUCGUAAAACUCUGUUGUUGGAGAAGAACAGGUGUCAGAGUAACUGUUGACAUCUUGACGGUAUCCAACCAGAAAGCCACGGCUAACUACGUGCCAGCAGCCGCGGUAAUACGUAGGUGGCAAGCGUUGUCCGGAUUUAUUGGGCGUAAAGCGAGCGCAGGCGGUUUUUUAGGUCUGAUGUGAAAGCCUUCGGCUUAACCGGAGAAGUGCAUCGGAAACCGGGAGACUUGAGUGCAGAAGAGGACAGUGGAACUCCAUGUGUAGCGGUGAAAUGCGUAGAUAUAUGGAAGAACACCAGUGGCGAAGGCGGCUGUCUGGUCUGUAACUGACGCUGAG